ACCUGGCUGGCUCAGUUGGUAGAGUACGUGACUCUUGAUCUCAGGGUUGUGAGUUCAAGUCCCAUGUUGGGUG
This 73-nucleotide transfer RNA is filed under the name Ailuropoda melanoleuca (giant panda). It matches the Rfam family "tRNA". From Rfam's summary of the family: Transfer RNA (tRNA) molecules are approximately 80 nucleotides in length. Their secondary structure includes four short double-helical elements and three loops (D, anti-codon, and T loops). The record is from Rfam by way of RNAcentral. Lineage: Eukaryota; Metazoa; Chordata; Mammalia; Carnivora; Ursidae.